RNAcentral lists this ribosomal RNA (459 nucleotides) under uncultured bacterium. RNAcentral describes it as "partial 16S ribosomal RNA". It matches the Rfam family "Bacterial small subunit ribosomal RNA", at positions 338 to 795 of the family's 1533-position model. The record is from RNAcentral.
CCUACGGGAGGCAGCAGUGAGGAAUAUUGGUCAAUGGGAGAGAGCCUGAACCAGCCAAGCCGCGUGAGGGAAGACGGCCCUAUGGGUUGUAAACCUCUUUUGUCGGGGAACAAAACCCGGGACGUGUACCGGACUGCGUGUAUCCGAAGAAAAAGCAUCGGCUAACUCCGUGCCAGCAGCCGCGGUAAUACGGAGGAUGGGAGCGUUAUCCGGAUUUAUUGGGUUAAAGGGGUGCGUGGGCGGUCCGUUAAGUCAGCGGGAAAAUUGCGGGGCUAAACCCCGUCGAGCCGUUGAAACUGGCAGGCUUGAGUUGGCGAGAAGUACGCGGAAUGCGCGGUGUAGCGGUGAAAUGCAUAGAUAUCGCGCAGAACCCCGAUUGCGAAGGCAGCGUACCGGCGCCAGACUGACGCUGAGGCACGAAAGCGUGGGGAGCGAACAGGAUUAGAUACCCUGGUAGUC